This 253-nucleotide ribosomal RNA is filed under the name uncultured bacterium. Its description in RNAcentral is "partial 16S ribosomal RNA". It matches the Rfam family "Bacterial small subunit ribosomal RNA", at positions 524 to 776 of the family's 1533-position model. The record is from RNAcentral.
UACGGAGGGGACUAGCGUUGUUCGGAAUUACUGGGCGUAAAGCGCGCGUAGGCGGCUUUGUAAGUCAGGGGUGAAAUCCCGGGGCUCAACCUCGGAACUGCCUUUGAUACUGCAAAUCUCGAGUCCGGAAGAGGUGAGUGGAAUUCCUAGUGUAGAGGUGAAAUUCGUAGAUAUUAGGAAGAACACCAGUGGCGAAGGCGGCUCACUGGUCCGGUACUGACGCUGAGGUGCGAAAGCGUGGGGAGCAAACAGG